This 66-nucleotide ribosomal RNA is filed under the name Gilliamella intestini. The record is from RNAcentral. Lineage: Bacteria; Pseudomonadati; Pseudomonadota; Gammaproteobacteria; Orbales; Orbaceae.
AGUGAAACGCCGUAGUGCCGAUGGUAGUGUGGGUAUUACCCAUGUGAGAGUAGGGUGCCGCCAGAC